This 467-nucleotide ribosomal RNA is filed under the name uncultured bacterium. RNAcentral describes it as "partial 16S ribosomal RNA". It matches the Rfam family "Bacterial small subunit ribosomal RNA", at positions 29 to 507 of the family's 1533-position model. The record is from RNAcentral.
AGUGAACGCUGGCGGUAGGCCUAACACAUGCAAGUCGAACGGCAGCACAGUAAGAGCUUGCUCUUACGGGUGGCGAGUGGCGGACGGGUGAGGAAUACAUCGGAAUCUACUUUUUCGUGGGGGAUAACGUAGGGAAACUUACGCUAAUACCGCAUACGACCUACGGGUGAAAGCAGGGGAUCUUCGGACCUUGCGCGAUUGAAUGAGCCGAUGUCGGAUUAGCUAGUUGGCAGGGUAAAGGCCCACCAAGGCGACGAUCCGUAGCUGGUCUGAGAGGAUGAGCAGCCACACGGGGACUGAGACACGGUCCAGACUCCUAGAGGAGGCAGCAGUGGUGGAUACUGCACAAUGGGCGAAAGCAUGAUCCAGCAAUGCCGCGGGAGUGAUGAAGGCCUGAGAGAAAUAAAGCUCGUUUAACCGCGACGAUAAUGACAGUACCGGAAGAAUAAGCACCGGCUAACUCCGUG